CCAUCUUGCACCGCCCCACCAUCUAUACUAUGUUAAUAACUAAGAAACACGGGGUCGGGAGGGGAUGGGAAUGAUCAUUCUGUGUUUAAAUUAUUCAGCAUUGAAAGAGUUAAUAGCACCGACUCAGCCCUAAAAGACACACAGGGCGAUCAGCCCAAGUCGAUACUUUCAGAAUGGCGUUCCUUUGUCUUUAUGGAAUAAAAUGACACACAGGGAGAAGCAUUCCAGCGUCAGAAUUAUUUAUCCCUCAGCUAAGACUCAUUUUCUUUACCCGCGAACUAUCUCCUAUCGCCUUCGCUCCCACUAACCCCCACCCUCAGGUCUGAGAAAUUAGCACAAUCUGGUCUGUGUAACCUAACCAGCGGAUAAAGUCGUAAAUUAACGAACUGCUUUUACGGCAGGCGUUCCCUUUUGCAACAAAAAAAACAAACGCGAAGUUAGUGGUAUUGGGGGGGGCUUUUAAUUUAUCUAUAAACAUAUAUUUCUUUACAAAAGAAAAAGGCAAGGAUUCAGAAAUGUUCUCCAAAGCGGCGCGUUAAAACCAUCAGGAGACCGGUCAGCAAGGUCCGAGAACCCGCCGGUGAGUUUGGUGUGAGUGGGUGACAAUGACUGAGGUGGGAAUAAAGUGGGCGCAUUUAGCUCGCUUGCUGCGUUCCCCAGCCCCCUACAUGGACGGCGCCACAGACUGGGCGCUGAACUCGGGGUAUUUCACACGGAAUACCCGGCAACGUUUGAGGUUGUGUUUAAAAGUGACAAAGAGGACUCAAGUUUUCUGAGGUGAAUUAAGCGAGACACGACAAGAAAAUUCGUGCGAAAAGAUCUUCAAGAGGAAAAAAAACACUGCCUUACCAGACAUUCUAGGAUUUAUAAUUGCCAGCUUGCUUCAAGAGAGAUGCUUUGAGUGGCUCCAGCAAUGAAACUUUCUCUUCAGAUUUGUUGAUCAGAAUGCAAUAUUUUAAAAUUUGAGACAAUGUGCUAAGUGCAGCACUGAAAUUUGAACAAUACACAAUCACAAUUAUUGCACUAUACCUUGGGAUAUAACUUAGAGUUUUGCAGCACUCAUGCCGACCUUUUUAAAACCUCUACAAUCCAAUGAUUUGACAAUGAAUGAUUGCGCGAUACUUUCAAUUUGAAUAUUCAAAGCCCAGACAAAAAGAGUGCUCUCUUUUUGAAACACUGUGCUUAUCCAUCUAUUAAAGACUCCAAUGGAAUAAAAUUCAGUAGAAAGUAUGGAACUUUAUGCAGGAUUGUGCACAUUUUUGUGAUUUUAGCAAGCUUUGACGAGUGGGGCCAGAGAGACUCAAACAUGUCCAUAAUUUUUGUCCUGCCUGCACAUUUUUGCCCCAAACCCCUGCCAACUCCACAUCCACGUUUGCCAGCGAUGCACUGCAGCCAGGGGUACACUUUAUAUCGAUGUUUUAUCGUGAAAAGUGGUAUUUGUCCACAAUUUGGUACCAAACAUGGCAGAUUGUGGGCGUGGCAUAGAGUAGUCCUUUAACCAAGCAUGGAGUGAGAAUUAAGACAGCAAACUGUUGAUCUCUAGCUACACUCUACAUCUAUUGCACUUUUACAGAAUUCUGGGGAAUAAGAAUUGUUUGUCACGAAAUUAUUUAAUUAGAGGUGAUGAAGAUUUCCUCCUCGCAAUGAUCCUGUGACAUUUUAGCAUCCCCACCCGUCUGAGACAUCUUUAGGUUUUUAAUUCAUUCUGAUUUUCUAACGGUUUAACUGCAUUACAAACAACUUAGACCUUUCCAGCGAAUCCCAAUGCAACCGAACAUCGUCCUUCAGACACCGGGAGCGAGAUUCUUCUGUCGCAGUGUCUGCCUUCAUAGUUUUUAAUUUUGUUAUGGUGCAUAAUUAAUAAAGCAAUUCUGUUUAUUUUUAUUCC
Molecule: long non-coding RNA, 1888 nt
Organism: Chiloscyllium plagiosum (whitespotted bambooshark)
Lineage: Eukaryota; Metazoa; Chordata; Chondrichthyes; Orectolobiformes; Hemiscylliidae
Source: RefSeq, a predicted model, not a curated record